RNAcentral lists this long non-coding RNA (1027 nucleotides) under Strigops habroptila (Kakapo). Its description in RNAcentral is "lncRNA (ENSSHBG00005010381.1)". The record is from RNAcentral. Lineage: Eukaryota; Metazoa; Chordata; Aves; Psittaciformes; Psittacidae.
CCGUAGCUUGAAUACGCAUCAAUUGAUUUUAUUAUACUAGAAACCCUGAGAAAGCAUAAUAUAUUUAUAUACAGGUCAUGUAAAUACACUGUAGGCAAGUUUCACAGUUUAAUGUUGCAAAGUGCUUUCAUUAAUGCUGUGGUUCUGAGAAAAGGUUGUAAAAGAACAUAAAGGAGUCAAGAUCUGAUUUUUACUGAGAUAAGUUGAAAGCAUAAUUCACCUUUACUAAACGUCAGUGUUUCUUCUUUCAUGUCUUUUUACGUGAUGCUCUUUCUACUGCUCCGUGCAUGGCUGAGAACGAUAUACAUUAAGAAUGAAUCCUUCAUUGAUGUGACUUCAUGAUCUUCUGUUUAUUAUUUAUGUUUGCAUAAUUUCAUGUGUUAAUAAAAAACCCCAGUAAUUCACCAGAGAUACAUACAAUUAAAUGGUUGGGUUUGUCCUGGAGCAAUUGCACACUAUGCUUUUACUUGAUGCAUAUUUCCGACAGGAGACAGAAAGUCAGUCCUGCUGAGCAGUCUGAUCUGACAUGGGAAAAGUAUAUUGUUAUUUUUUCUAGAAAGUAUGUUUAUUUUUUUUAGAGAGGAGAUUACAUUUCAAAUGCACUUCCAGAACUUCUAAUGGCUCCCCAUCAUCCUCAAAAUGUUACUGAAGGAUCUUAAAUUGAAUAUAGAGGUCAACCUCUCCACUUGUGGAAUGACUAUUUUUUUGUUUUGUAUUGAUAUUGAGGCUCAUCUGCCUUUACAAAACCCAGCAGUUCUGUGAAUGAAAACCACAAUGUCAGGGUUAAGCGCUGUAUUUCCUGUAGCUGAAAACUGCCAUCUACCAGAAGGACUGGUAGGUAAGAUAUGCUGUUCUGUUCUGAGUAGUUGGAGUCUUAAAAGUAAUGCUGAGGAUUUAGAACUAGACAAAACUUUAGAUGUAAACCAUGUUAUGUAGCAGGUAUCACUGUAAAGAAUGUGCUCGUCAGGCUUGUAUAAAAUUCAGGCUGUUGAUUCAGGAAGGCUUUGAACAUAAAGCUGUAUUUGGA